This 484-nucleotide ribosomal RNA is filed under the name uncultured bacterium. RNAcentral describes it as "partial 16S ribosomal RNA". It matches the Rfam family "Bacterial small subunit ribosomal RNA", at positions 30 to 507 of the family's 1533-position model. The record is from RNAcentral.
AUUGAACGCUGGCGGCAGGCCUAACACAUGCAAGUCGAGCGGAUGAAGGGAGCUUGCUCCUGGAUUCAGCGGCGGACGGGUGAGUAAUGCCUAGGAAUCUGCCUGGUAGUGGGGGAUAACGUCCGGAAACGGGCGCUAAUACCGCAUACGUCCUGAGGGAGAAAGUGGGGGAUCUUCGGACCUCACGCUAUCAGAUGAGCCUAGGUCGGAUUAGCUAGUUGGUGGGGUAAAGGCCUACCAAGGCGACGAUCCGUAACUGGUCUGAGAGGAUGAUCAGUCACACUGGAACUGAGACACGGUCCAGACUCCUAAGGGAGGCAGCAGUGGGGAAUAUUGGACAAUGGGCGAAAGCCUGAUCCAGCCAUGCCGCGUGUGUGAAGAAGGUCUUCGGAUUGUAAAGCACUUUAAGUUGGGAGGAAGGGCAGUAAGUUAAUACCUUGCUGUUUUGACGUUACCAACAGAAUAAGCACCGGCUAACCUCGUG